CUAGCCUGCACUGUUUUAGGAAGGAAAAAAGCAGUAAAUCAGAAAGAUUGAUGUUCUGGUUGCAUUUUACUAUUAUUAUUAUUUGUUUUAUUUUCUAUUUGAUUAGCUAGAACCUUGCAAGUUGGACAAACAGGUUGCAUCAAAUAAAUUAUUUCUAUUGCAUGCCAGGAGUGAGAGAGAAAUCUGAUUUCUUUCAGUGAUCCAGUUAACACUGUGUAACACACCUAUACCAAAAAAAAAAAAAAAAGAAAAAGAAAACCUGAAGACUUUUGGUUGGCUGAAACGCAGCUGCUGCUGCUGCCAAGACCGUCGGCCACCUUGAAAAGCCACCAUUGGUACUUGGCGGCACUGUUUCUUUGUUUGUCACCAAGGCAUUUGCUGCCGUGGGCGCUUUGGACUGUGGUAACUGUAGCAGGCCCUUGCAAUUCUGAGCGGCGUUGGCUGAGGCCCUUGGUAUUCGAGACAAACGUUAUUUUUCUAAAGCCAGCAAGGCGAACGCUGCACCCGCUUCGAUGUCCCUUUUAA
RNAcentral lists this long non-coding RNA (525 nucleotides) under Struthio camelus australis. RNAcentral's name for it is "lncRNA (ENSSCUG00000007701.1)". Lineage: Eukaryota; Metazoa; Chordata; Aves; Struthioniformes; Struthionidae. The record is from RNAcentral.